Non-coding RNA from Triticum urartu, 712 nucleotides. The record is from RefSeq and is a predicted model, not a curated record. NCBI's taxonomy places the organism in Eukaryota, Viridiplantae, Streptophyta, Magnoliopsida, Poales, Poaceae.
UUACUGACAGACGAAUACUUGUUUGCCUUCAUCAUCUGCAUUUCAAAUGACUCAUUAUGCAUCAGGCUAGCUAGGCGAUAUGAAAUUUUACUUCUUGGCUAUAGUCACCGAGCACUGCAAUUUGAAAUUACAGCCACGAAUUUUGGAUUAGUCGAAAGGGCAUUCUUAAUCUGAUACAGUCAACCGAGCACUGCAAUUUUCAAAACAAGAAGCGGCUGCUACCAUAUUAUUUAUGUUUACAAUUAACAAACUACAUCCUGACAUUCCUUCUUAUUUUUGUUUGCAUUCAGACGUGAUGACCUUGAGAAAAUCCAUUCACUUCAAUUGGACAGGAGUUUUCUGCCACGUAAUCGAUGAUGCACUUCACGUGACAGAAUUGUUUGUUAAAGGAACUUUUGGCAAGAAAUACACAACCGUGCCAUUCAGUGUUAUACCUCUGUUAUUGGCAAGAAAUACACUAAUGUGUAGCUCACUGCUGAGGUCAGCAAGAGGGGGUACAGGCACAUCUGACACCCUUUUCUCUUCCGGCGCCUUGCUAUUUGCAUUUCCCAUUCGUACCUAUCAUUUUUCAACAGCAUUAGAAUUGAUGUGGUAUGUAUACUGAACAAUUGGCUUGCCAUGUAUUUUUGGUGUUCCAACUGCGAACAUAGGGAAGAAAUGACUACAGUGUAUACAUCUGAUAAACAUUUAUUGUCUUGGGAUGUAUUUUUGG